Molecule: ribosomal RNA, 497 nt
Filed under: uncultured bacterium
Lineage: Bacteria
Description: partial 16S ribosomal RNA
Rfam family: Bacterial small subunit ribosomal RNA
Source: RNAcentral
GAUGAACGCUGGCGGCGUGCCUAAUACAUGCAAGUCGAGCGAACGGACGAGAAGCUUGCUUCUCUGAUGUUAGCGGCGGACGGGUGAGUAACACGUGGAUAACCUACCUAUAAGACUGGGAUAACUUCGGGAAACCGGAGCUAAUACCGGAUAAUAUUUUGAACCGCAUGGGUCAAAAGUGAAAGACGGUCUUGCUGUCACGUAUAGAUGGAUCCGCGCUGCAUUAGCUAGUUGGUAAGGUAAAGGCCUACCAAGGCAACGAUGCAUAGCCGACCUGAGAGGGGGGUAGGCCACCCUUGAACUUGACCACCGUCCAUGCUCCUAAGGGAGGGCACAGUAGGGAACUUUCCGCAAUGGGGGGAAACCUUGCGGAACCACCGCCGGUGGGUUGCGGAAGUCCUCCGAUCGGAAAAACCUUUUAUUAGGGGAAAACCUCUGUGUAAGUAACUGUGCACAUCUUGACGGUACCUAAUCAGAAAGCCACGGCUAACUACGUG